AUUGAACGCUGGCGGCAUGCCUAACACAUGCAAGUCGAACGGUAGCAGGCCUUCGGGCGCUGACGAGUGGCGGACGGGUGAGUAAUACAUAGGAAUCUGCCUUUUAGUGGGGGAUAACCCGGAGAAUCCGGGCUAAUACCGCAUACGCACUACGGUGGAAAGCAGGGGAUCGUAAGACCUUGCGCUAAUAGAUGAGCCUAUGUCGGAUUAGCUUGUUGGUAGGGUAAUGGCCUACCAAGGCGACGAUCCGUAGCUGGUCUGAGAGGACGACCAGCCACACUGGGACUGAGACACGGCCCAGACUCCUACGGGAGGCAGCAGUGGGGAAUAUUGGACAAUGGGGGCAACCCUGAUCCAGCAAUGCCGCGUGUGUGAAGAAGGCCUC
This 385-nucleotide ribosomal RNA is filed under the name uncultured bacterium. Its description in RNAcentral is "bacterial SSU rRNA". It matches the Rfam family "Bacterial small subunit ribosomal RNA", at positions 30 to 418 of the family's 1533-position model. The record is from RNAcentral.